CACGUAGGGGGCAAGCGUUGUCCGGAUUUAUUGGGCGUAAAGAGCUCGUAGGCGGCUUAGUAAGUCGGGUGUGAAAUCUCGGAGCUUAACUCCGAAACUGCAUUCGAUACUGCCGUGCUUGAGGACUGGAGAGGAGACUGGAAUUUACGGUGUAGCGGUGAAAUGCGUAGAUAUCGUAAGGAAGACCAGUGGCGAAGGCGGGUCUCUGGACAGUUCCUGACGCUGAGGCACGAAGGUCAGGGGAGCAAACGGG
RNAcentral lists this ribosomal RNA (253 nucleotides) under uncultured bacterium. RNAcentral's name for it is "partial 16S ribosomal RNA". It matches the Rfam family "Bacterial small subunit ribosomal RNA", at positions 524 to 776 of the family's 1533-position model. The record is from RNAcentral.